RNAcentral lists this long non-coding RNA (315 nucleotides) under Sorghum bicolor (sorghum). Its description in RNAcentral is "long non-coding RNA (SBIC_LNC011586)". Lineage: Eukaryota; Viridiplantae; Streptophyta; Magnoliopsida; Poales; Poaceae. The record is from RNAcentral.
GCGCUGCCACCGUCCAUGAACCUCUCUGGCAUGAACUCAUCCGGCUUCUCCCAUGACUCCGGGUCUCUGCCAAGAGCCCAUGCGUUGAGGAUGACCCUGGUGCCGGAAGGGACACAGUAGCCAUCGACGACGCAGUCCGCCAUGGAGAGGCGAGGCACCAGGAGCGGCGCAGGCGGGUGCAUCCUCAGUGUCUCCUUCACGACCGCUCUCAGGUAGGGCAUGUUAGAUAGGUUCUCUUCCUCCACCGUUUCUUGUCCUGACGGUGUGUGCUUUCUCACUUCACCUUGUAGCUUAGCCAUCUGCUGUGGGUUGCAC